CCAUCUCCCUUCUCGUCCUCCUGGUGGUCUGCACCCCAGGGUGUGAACAGAAGAGCCAUGCCAGAGCUUUUUAAAAAAGGAACCCACCAAACCGUACCAGACCAGGGACUCUAUCUCUGAGACUCUCUGUUCCUGGUCACUGCCUGUCCCUGAACCUCACUGUAGUGUAAUGAAAAGAUCCAUAUUUGAUCCUUGUCCUGGUUCCUGGCCCAGAUGUCCUGCAACCCUUGGAAUUUACUGUCUUCUGUAUGGUAAUGCGAUGAGUCAAGGAAGGGGACCCAGGAUAACUUAAGGAUGGGGCCGGUCUCCAAGAAGUCUCAUCACGUGAUUAGAGAAUUAGAACUUUCAACCUGUAGUACUUCUGGGGAGAGGAGAGGACCCACCGCCUGCCUUCUGCCUGGAGCCUCCCUACAAGGGUCUCUGCGAGGCCAUCUUUAUC
Molecule: non-coding RNA, 439 nt
Organism: Delphinapterus leucas (beluga whale)
Lineage: Eukaryota; Metazoa; Chordata; Mammalia; Artiodactyla; Monodontidae
Source: RefSeq, a predicted model, not a curated record